AUUGAACGCGGCGGCAUGCCUUACACAUGCAAGUCGAACGGCAGCACGGGAGCAAUCCUGGUGGCGAGUGGCGAACGGGUGAGUAAUACAUCGGAACGUGCCCAAUCGUGGGGGAUAACGCAGCGAAAGCUGUGCUAAUACCGCAUACGAUCUACGGAUGAAAGCAGGGGAUCGCAAGACCUUGCGCGAAUGGAGCGGCCGAUGGCAGAUUAGGUAGUUGGUGAGGUAAAGGCUCACCAAGCCGUCGAUCUGUAGCUGGUCUGAGAGGACGACCAGCCACACUGGGACUGAGACACGGCCCAGACUCCUACGGGAGGCAGCAGUGGGGAAUUUUGGACAAUGGGCGAAAGCCUGAUCCAGCCAUGCCGCGUGCAGGAUGAAGGCCUUCGGGUUGUAAACUGCUUUUGUACGGAACGAAACGGCCUUUUCUAAUAAAGAGGGCUAAUGACGGUACCGUAAGAAUAAGCACCGGCUAACUACGUGCCAGCAGCCGCGGUAAUACGUAGGGUGCAAGCGUUAAUCGGAACUACUGGGCGUAAAGCGUGCGCAGGCGGUUAUGUAAGACAGUUGUGAAAUCCCCGGGCUCAACCUGGGAACUGCAUCUGUGACUGCAUAGCUAGAGUACGGUAGAGGGGGAUGGAAUUCCGCGUGUAGCAGUGAAAUGCGUAGAUAUGCGGAGGAACACCGAUGGCGAAGGCAAUCCCCUGGACCUGUACUGACGCUCAUGCACGAAAGCGUGGGGAGCAAACAGG
This 752-nucleotide ribosomal RNA is filed under the name uncultured Comamonadaceae bacterium. RNAcentral's name for it is "bacterial SSU rRNA". It matches the Rfam family "Bacterial small subunit ribosomal RNA", at positions 28 to 776 of the family's 1533-position model. Lineage: Bacteria; Pseudomonadati; Pseudomonadota; Betaproteobacteria; Burkholderiales; Comamonadaceae. The record is from RNAcentral.